RNAcentral lists this ribosomal RNA (480 nucleotides) under Triticum aestivum (bread wheat). Its description in RNAcentral is "partial small subunit ribosomal RNA". Lineage: Eukaryota; Viridiplantae; Streptophyta; Magnoliopsida; Poales; Poaceae. The record is from RNAcentral.
AUGGGAAUUGGAACAUGCAAAUGUGUUCUUGCUUUCAUAGAGUUGGAUCCUCCUCACUCUGGAAAUGUCAUUGCGGAUGCUCUCUAUGCGUGUAUGAUAGAAUGGAAUAUUGAGACCAAAAUUAUGUCCGUCACACUUGACAACGCUUCAAACAAUGAUGGUGCGGUCGAUGCUUUGAAGGCCAAGUUCUCGUUUCGAAGAGGUAAUGACUUUGAAGGACAAUAUUUUCAUAUCUGUUGUUGUGCACACAUCCUCAACUUGGUCGUGCAAGAUGGGACAGAGGUCUUAGAUAAUUUGAUAAACAGCUUGAGAGAGAUGGUGAAGUACUUCAAGAGGUCACCUUCUCGUCUCCAUGCUUUCGUUGCCACUUGCAAAAGAUUGGGUGUCAAAGUUGGUAAUCAUUUACACCUGGAUUGUAAAACAAGGUGGAUUUCAACCUAUAAGAUGAUUAGCACUGUCCGUGAUAUAAGGAAGCCUUGA